Molecule: ribosomal RNA, 483 nt
Filed under: uncultured bacterium
Lineage: Bacteria
Description: partial 16S ribosomal RNA
Rfam family: Bacterial small subunit ribosomal RNA
Source: RNAcentral
AUUGAACGCUGGCGGCAGGCCUAACACAUGCAAGUCGAGCGGAUGAAGGGAGCUUGCUCCUGGAUUCAGCGGCGGACGGGUGAGUAAUGCCUAGGAAUCUGCCUGGUAGUGGGGGAUAACGUCCGGAAACGGGCGCUAAUACCGCAUACGUCCUGAGGGAGAAAGUGGGGGAUCUUCGGCCUCCAGCCUACCAGUGAAGCUAGGUCGGAUUAGCUAGUUGGUGGGGUAAAGGCCUACCAAGGCGACGAUCCGUAACUGGUCUGAGAGGAUGAUCAGUCACACUGGAACUGAGACACGGUCCAGACUCCUACGGGAGGCAGCAGUGGGGAAUAUUGGACAAAGGGCGAAAGCCUGAUCCAGCCAUGCCGCGUGUGUGAAGAAGGUCUUCGGAUUGUAAAGCACUUUAAGUUGGGAGGAAGGGCAGUAAGUUAAUACCUUGCUGUUUUGACGUUACCAACAGAAUAAGCACCGGCUAACUUCGUG